GAGCGGAGUGAAGUUGGCGCGCAUGCGUACGUCAGUUACAGGCGUUGCGCCUGCGCGUUUGACGCUUUACACGGCGGUGGUGUAGUCGUGAUCCGAUUAACAACUGUCUUUACUUGUGUUUUGUACGAGCAAAAACAAUGUGAAAAGUGGUUGUUAAUAAUAUUUUCUUAUUAACUUGUAUCCUUUCUGACUUAAUUACAAUAAAAUCGAUCGUAGACGUGAAAUGUGAGGUUUGUUUACCCUCGGUGUGUCGAAGUGCUCAGUGAUGAAGGUGCCCAAGUCGCGAUAGUGCACCACGUUCGAACAUUGCAAAAAGGAUACAUUGAGAAAAGAAAAUGCGGAUCAAGACAUUCACAGAUUAUCGCCCGAAUGGUACGUUUACAAUCCAUCA
This 391-nucleotide long non-coding RNA is filed under the name Manduca sexta (tobacco hornworm). RNAcentral describes it as "uncharacterized LOC119190046". The record is from RNAcentral. Lineage: Eukaryota; Metazoa; Arthropoda; Insecta; Lepidoptera; Sphingidae.